RNAcentral lists this microRNA (22 nucleotides) under Acyrthosiphon pisum (pea aphid). RNAcentral describes it as "api-miR-3027". The record is from miRBase by way of RNAcentral. Lineage: Eukaryota; Metazoa; Arthropoda; Insecta; Hemiptera; Aphididae.
CCAGUCUUGCAUUUAUUCCACU